RNAcentral lists this ribosomal RNA (692 nucleotides) under Rhodobacteraceae bacterium Lk212. RNAcentral describes it as "bacterial SSU rRNA". It matches the Rfam family "Bacterial small subunit ribosomal RNA", at positions 97 to 824 of the family's 1533-position model. The record is from RNAcentral. Lineage: Bacteria; Pseudomonadati; Pseudomonadota; Alphaproteobacteria; Rhodobacterales; Paracoccaceae.
GGCGGACGGGUUAGUAACGCGUGGGAAUAUACCCUUCACUAUGGAAUAGCCUCGGGAAACUGAGAGUAAUACCAUAUACGCCCUUCGGGGGAAAGAUUUAUCGGUGAAGGAUUAGCCCGCGUUAGAUUAGAUAGUUGGUGGGGUAAUGGCCUACCAAGUCUACGAUCUAUAGCUGGUUUGAGAGGAUGAUCAGCAACACUGGGACUGAGACACGGCCCAGACUCCUACGGGAGGCAGCAGUGGGGAAUCUUAGACAAUGGGCGCAAGCCUGAUCUAGCCAUGCCGCGUGAGUGAUGAAGGCCUUAGGGUCGUAAAGCUCUUUCGCCAGAGAUGAUAAUGACAGUAUCUGGUAAAGAAACCCCGGCUAACUCCGUGCCAGCAGCCGCGGUAAUACGGAGGGGGUUAGCGUUGUUCGGAAUUACUGGGCGUAAAGCGUACGUAGGCGGAUUAGUCAGUUAGGGGUGAAAUCCCAGGGCUCAACCCUGGAACUGCCCUUAAUACUGCUAGUCUUGAGUUCGAGAGAGGUGAGUGGAAUUCCGAGUGUAGAGGUGAAAUUCGUAGAUAUUCGGAGGAACACCAGUGGCGAAGCGGCUCACUGGCUCGAUACUGACGGCUGAGGUACGAAAGUGUGGGGAGCAAACAGGAUUAGAUACCCUGGUAGUCCACACCGUAAACGAUGAAUGCCAGUCGUC